Molecule: long non-coding RNA, 2227 nt
Organism: Topomyia yanbarensis
Lineage: Eukaryota; Metazoa; Arthropoda; Insecta; Diptera; Culicidae
Exons: 4
Source: RefSeq, a predicted model, not a curated record
GGUCUUCGGCAUAACUGUCCUUGUCGGUUUUCACCAACAAGGCCUCUCCUCUGUCUUUAGUCUUCCUCGCGGGUCGAGGUGCGUUCGACUUCCGCUUGGUUCUACUGGCCAGCUGCCAUUCACCAUCUUGUGCCGGUGGUCCCGGCUGGCUGGUACCUUGAGGCCCAACGCUUUGAGCCCGGUUGGUGACUUUCGCUUUUUUAGGCUGAGAAGUCGCCUUCUUGGGUCGCCGCCCUACGGGAUCCUUCGCACCCAGAUCCGCACCUUCCAAACGACGUUUGGCCUUUGUAGUUGCGCGUCGUUUAGCGUUGUCCCGAGCACCUUCACCUGGUGAGUGCCGGGGCCGCUUCGCGGUCUUGCCCUCCAAUAAGCUAUUUGUGGCCGUUAAAGCGAAGUAUAUUCGCUCUUGGGCCACCGUAGCUCCACCGAUGAAGGAGAAGGCCUCGGUUUGGACGGCUUUAUCCGCCUUCUCUCUUCCCGCCACCCUCUUCAUAUAUGCUUCCUGUUCUUGUCUUGCGACUCGAACAGCCUGGCGGAGCACCAGCAGGUUCUGUUUCAGUAAUGGUAAUGGUCCGCCAAGCGUGUUUGUAGGAUUAUCUCCUACCACACCUGAAGAUCCCCCGGUGCUGUUGGUUGCAGCUCCCGUCGCUCCGCUGGGAGGAGACCUCGCCAAACCCUCUUUGGCAAAGGGGUUCACCAUUUUUGUCAUUUCCUCCUCGUCUCCAACUGACCUCGCCAAACACUCUUUGGCAAAGGGGUUCGCCACCUUCAUCAUUUCCUCCUCGUCUCCAACUUUGCUUUAAUUUCACGACUAAUACUAGAUCCCACGAGUUGCGCGGGAAAAAAGGUCCGUCACGUCAGAGCUCCGCAUUAACGUGGUAAGGGACGCUUACUUUGGGGGGUACCCCACAGGCUCCGUUAGCGGUCAGGCAUCUUUUUCAUCCCACCCCCGACCACACAUCCUUCAGCAGGGGUCGCUUCACACAUUGGAUUGCGGGGUUAUCCCGUUUGAUGGGCUCAUACCACCGGAACGGGAGAUCCGUAGCGCUAUUCUAGGCCGGCCACUACACAUUGCGGUAUGUGCCAGACCGGAUAUAGCAGUGAGCGCUUCGAUGCUCGGAAGAAGUGUUAGUGCACCACAGGAGGAGAAUUCGGUAGCAACCAAACGUGUGGUCCCUUAUUUAAAUGCAACGAAACACUUGCAACUACGGUACGGAAAUAUGAUCAGGUAUUACGCGGACUGAGUUGGUGAUUACCAGAGUUAAAAUAUUCAAAUUCAUUGAAAAAAAAAAUGAUCAUAUUCAGCAACAUUCAUUUUUAAUAUUCAGUGACGCAGCUGAAAACGUCAAACGAACGAACCACCCAUUCAUCCAUGCAGAUUCAUUCGGCGAUUAUUAUACGAAGCGACCGUGCAGCAACGAAUCAAACGCAUCAAAGUAGUGUAACGUUUGUCAUGGGAAUCAAUGUUUAUAAACGUAGGAUAAUGGUCAAAACAAAGACAUUAUAGUUAGUUGAUAGAAAAAUCAGACAUUCUGGCACCACGGCAGCACUAUCUGGACGCUAUCUUGCACCCGCAUAUCUCUUCGCACAAAGUCUACAUCACUUUUGGCGGAAACCGUACAAGAGUAAAGUCUUUCUCACAAAGACAACCAAAACGCGAACAAGGCCAGUAAGCAAAGUCGCCAUCGUGAUAGUGACGCGCACCUGGGAAAAAACGUCGUGCGGAACUCAACAAGCAGAAGUAACCAAAAGACUGCGAAUCAGAUCGAAAAUCGUCGCAUGAUUUCUCAAGUCCGUAAACCGGAAAUCGCCGACCAACGCACGCUGUGAGUUUUGGCACGAGCACCACUCAGUUACGAAAGCCAUAUUGGAAAAUUACCAGGGUCCAUUCUAAAUACGGACAGUGGAUCGGAAAGUGACACAUCAAACGCACGUGAUCAUUUUAGCUUGAUUGGAUCCAUUAGCGCAAGCUGCAAUCAAGCAACACAUUCUCCUGGUUCGCCACGGGAGCCUUAUUCAGCUAAUAAGCCAAGCCGAGGGACCUAGAAAGAUUCAAACGGCGCCCAGCACACGCUUACGAGGAAGACGACUUUGAAGAUUAACAACGGAUCGGUACGAUCCCAUCUCGGAAGACAGCCCCGGAAAGGGGCCGUUUUCUCAGAUUUGCCUGAUCAGGAGGACGAUCUAUUAACGGAUUAGUCGGUCAUUACGGAAACGAGGACGAAGG